CAUGGUAUCAGUCAUGAAUGGUACAGUCCAUCGUAUCUGAGUUCGGCUCUGUAGCUUCGCUUUGCGUGCGCGCUGCAGUUUCCUGUGAAGGGUUGAUGCAGGAGAGAACCAUGGCGGCCACUGAAAUAGCGCGACAAGCGGGAGAAGGUGCACGUGCCGUCCCACUCUCUGGUCAUGUUGGCUUCGACAGCAUGCCGGACCAGCUGGUCAACAAGUCCGUCAACCAUGGCUUCUGCUUCAAUAUCCUCUGCGUGGGCGAGACGGGUUUGGGAAAGUCCACCCUCAUGGACACCCUGUUCAACACCAAAUUUGAGGGUGAACCUACACAGCACAAUCAGCCUGGAGUACAGCUCAAAUCCAACACUUACGAGCUGCAGGAGAGCAACGUUCGCCUCAAGCUCACUGUGGUCAACACUGUAGGCUUUGCAGAUCAGAUCAAUAAAGAGGACAGUUACAAAUCUAUUGUGGAGUUCAUCGAUGCUCAGUUUGAAGCGUACCUUCAGGAGGAACUGAAGAUUAAACGCACCCUACACAGUUAUCAUGAUACACGGAUCCACGCCUGUCUGUAUUUCAUCGCUCCCACUGGACACUCGUUGAAGUCCCUUGACCUGGUUACUAUGAAGAAGUUGGACAGUAAGGUGAAUAUCAUCCCUAUCAUCGCCAAAUCAGAUGCCAUCUCAAAGAGUGAACUUGCUAAGUUCAAAAUUAAGAUCACAAGUGAGUUGGUGAGCAACGGCGUCCAGAUCUACCAGUUUCCCACUGACGAUGAGACUGUGGCGGAGAUCAACUCAACCAUGAAUGGUCAUUUGCCUUUUGCAGUGGUGGGAAGCACUGAGGAAGUGAAGAUUGGGAACAAGAUGGUGCGAGCACGCCAGUACCCUUGGGGAACCGUCCAGGUGGAGAAUGAGAAUCACUGUGAUUUCGUGAAGCUGAGAGAAAUGCUGAUCAGGGUCAACAUGGAGGACCUGCGAGAGCAGACUCACACUCGCCACUAUGAGCUAUACCGCCGCUGCAAGCUGGAGGAGAUGGGAUUCAAAGACACAGACCCUGACAGCAAACCCUUCAGCCUCCAGGAAACAUACGAGGCCAAGAGGAAUGAAUUCAUGGGAGAGCUGCAGAAGAAAGAGGAGGAGAUGAGGCAGAUGUUUGUCCAGAGAGUCAAAGAGAAGGAGGCAGAGCUGAAAGAGGCAGAAAAGGAGCUUCAUGAAAAGUUUGACCGUCUCAAGAAGCUUCACCAGGAUGAGAAGAAGAAACUAGAGGACAAGAAGAAGGCUCUUGAUGAUGAGCUAAACGGCUUCAAGCAGAAGAAGACGGCUGCUGAGCUGCUGCAGGCCCAGACUCAGCAGGCAGGUAGCUCUGCCACACUCAAGAAGGAUAAAGAGAGGAAAAACUGAUUUGCUGCAUUCACCUGAGUGUUAUAUGGGAGGAAGACACUUGCACUGACAAGUUCAGGAUUCCUGUAGAAAGUGCUCCCCCUGCCCGCUGUGAAUGAGCUCUUCCCCCCUCAGUGUUCCUGAGCCAUGCUGUUCCCGUUCUCUCCCCCCCCCCCCUCUCUCCUGUCCCGUCCCCCCAGUUUCAUGCAUAACACAGCUGAGGAGGGAUAAUAACUGUGAAUGGAAUCCUUCUUUAGAUUAACUCCUUUUUUAGAUUGUUUAACUCCUAAAAAAUUUUACAUGCGAUUUUUCUUUGUUUUACUUGCUGUGUUAUGAUGUCAUGAUGAUAUUGCUUUGUUCUGCAUGACUAGUGUUUGAUUCAACUUUAACAUGCGUGGCUACUGUUGUUGUGGGUAUGCAGUAGUUGAGUACACAGGUUAAAAUGGGACAAAUUCUAUUAGUAGUACCAUAAUUGUCAUUAGUGUUAUAAUUGGAAGAUGCAUGAGCUGCUUUCAGUUCAGUCAUGCAGUGAGAUUUAAGGCAUUUUACCCUGUUUUCUAAUGGAACAUGAUAUUUUGUCUCAUUUUAGCUCAUGCAUGUUAUACAGAUGCUGUCUGGUGAUCUGUAGCCAUACCUCAAUGUUUUUUUUUUUUUUUUUUUUUUAAACUGUUAUUGCUAUGCUUGUAUUAGUUUAGAAAAACUUUGGCACAUCUCAUCCAAAUGUAAGCACCUUUUAUAACUCUUUAUUUUUGUGACAUUUUAUUUUUCACAAAAUUAAUUAAAAAAAAAAAACUUUCUAAUAAAUAUCAAUUGCGAAAGGAUCAAUAUUUGUAUCAGUAAUAAAGGGCAUUCUUUCAUAAACCUUUAAACUGUGGGAAAGUCAUUGUGUAUGAAUAUCAGACAAUUAAUCCUACAUUUUAUUAUUUGCAUUAUUCAUAAAAGUGUGCAUGUUUAUGCACUCAGGGUGACAUGGCCGGUGUUUGAUUUGCUUACUCUGUAUUGAAAAAUCUUGAUUCCUCAAUUUAUGCUUUGAUUAUUUGCUUUAGGAAGGAGCUGGACUUUCACCUAUGAAGCAAUUUAUUACAUCUUAAUGCUUAACGGAGUAUAUAUAAUGAGACUAAUCAUACAUCUGAAUUUAUUUUCUAAAGGUUUGGCCUGUAUUCUCAAGUGAAGUAAUUUGACCACCACCACAAGUCAAAUGACAUAAACGUCAUUAUAAGAUCCUUGUAUGAGGAAGUUUAGUCUAGGCGAGUUUUCUGAGUCACUGCACAGUUACAGUUAAAGAUAGACUGUUCAGCAAAAUCAAAGUGAUUCUGUUGGUUCUAUGCUGGAUGACAGUGUUUUAUAUUGUAUCUGGAUGCUGGUCUUUCGACAAGUGGUAUUGAUGUGAUUGAUAUUUAUCAUCUAUUAACGCUUUUGCUCCCUCCAGUGUCCCUGCUCACUGCAGUGUGUGUAUUUACUUUCCUUUGCAGUAAUCCCUGGCUCUGCACUGAGUAGUAUGGCUUUGAUAAGGGACCAGGCCCAGACUCUUUGGUUAACCGGUACCCAAAGGCUAAGGGGAGGCAGUGUGGACCAAGCCCUCUGCGUUUCUCAUAAAUCACCUCUUGUAUUUUGAUUUUUGGGCUCUUUCUGCAGCUUUUACUAACAUUUGUAUUUAUUGUGUUACCAAAACCUUUGCUUAAGGCUGUGCUUUUUUUGUGGUGUGAUUUUUGAUGCUUUGUGUGACUAAUAUGCUUAAAGGGAAUAGUUCACCCAAAACUUAAAUUUGCGAAACCUUUAAUCACUUCAGGCCAUCCGGGAUGUAGAUGAGUUUGUUUCUUCAUCAGAACAGAUUUGGGUAAGUUGGCAUAACAUCAAUUGCUCACCAACGGAUCCUCUGAAGUGUGCCGUCAGAAUGAGAGUUCAAACGGCUGAUAAAAACAUCACAAUAAUCCACUCCAUUUCAUCAGUUAAAGUUUUUACCCAUUCACUUCAGAGAAUCCAUUGGUGAGCAAGUAAUGCAAUGCUAAAUUUCUUCAAAUCUGUUCCGACGAAGAAACAAACUCCUCUACACGAGGGCGAGAAAUUCUUUAGGGUGGUGAACUAUUCCUUUAAAGUUUGUGCCGCUUCAGAGAGGUGGGGAGGGAAAAUGCAAUCAUUACAAUCACUGUCCCAGUUAAGCUGUUUUAUUCUUCGCUAAGCUUUAGAUUGUGUUAAUGUUGACCACAAUUUAAAAUAUAGAAUGCAAGAUGAGCUAAUCCAUGCACAUUUAAAAGCAAAUUCACAAUGCAUUUGAAGUAAGGCAGAAGGACGGUGUGUUCCUAUCCGCCCACAUUUCGAAUGCUUCAUGCUUUUGGCUGGCAAAAGAAAAAUCCGAGUGCCCAUUUCCAAUUGACUGAAUUAAACUUGUCUUCCCACUGGUGCUGUUGAGUUUAGUGGCCUCCUGAUACUUUCUCUAAUCUGCGUUUGUCUCCUCUCUUCUUCUAGCUUCUUUUAACUCUGUCUUGGCCACCUGUUGGAAGAGGGGAUUGCAGCUUCCACGAGAACUAAGCGUCCACUCCUCUUCUUCCUGUCUUUUUCACUCCGUCAGCCUUGUUUGAAUAUUUUAUUUCAUUGUUUUUUUUUAUUUUUAAACUUUCAUGCUGUGUGCCCUGUUGAACAUGGCCUUAUGUGGGCUUAACAUGGUAUUUUUCAACAAAUAUUAGCUCUGUUUCCUAAUUAGGGCAUGCUAAGCAGUCCCUCAUUAGUAUUUUUACAGGCAUCUUUGCUGGUGACACCAGAGCCAAAGCUCUAGUAGAAAGGCUGUGAACUGAAGGAGUUUUUUCAGUUUAGCUUUUUAUGUCUAUGAUAUUGCCUUGCAGUCUCAAUCUGUUCAAUUAAACAAUCGUUUUGUUUCUUUCAUGAAUACAUGUGUUUGUGAAUGAACCUGCAUGUCCUCAUCAACAUUAACACAGAGUAAACUGUGGGGAGCGAGCGGAUACUAACUUAUUUGCAAACACUAUGUAUAAUUUAGGGUGUGAAUUAAGCUGAGUAAGAUUAUCUUUAAUACGACUUGAUGACAUUUUGACACGCUGGCUGUGAAUUUUGAGAAUAUUCCAAAGAAAAUGGGCCCGAAAGUUCCUGAUUGUUAAUGAAGCAAAAUGUGUUAAGCGAGAGAUGUUUAAUUGUAAUUUUAAUGAGAAUCUUUAUUUGAAAGCAUGAGGUAAAUAUAAGCAAAAUCUGAGAGGUUUGUAUUGUAUGUUUUGUAAUGCCCUAUACAUUUCAAGUCUUAAAUAGUCUCAGCAAUAUAGUUAUACUUUAUUUAAAAUAUAAUCUUAAAGAAUAAUGACGCACCUAUCGAAAUACCAUGUAGGUCACAUUCAGUGCCACUUUUUUAUAUUCUUUAUCUUCUGUUCUUUUGCAUGCCCUGAACAUACUUUUGUUUAAUAUAUGGAGUUAUUCUUUGCUUAGACAUAUUUACACUUCAGUGCUUCUUAAUUUGGACUAUUUUAUUACAUGUAUUUAUUCCAGGUACAAUGUGCAGUUACAUUCGAUUCCCAUUUUGCCAGAUAUUGCGUUUAGAUAUAUGUCAAGGGUUUUCAGUCAUUUAAUUUAAAAUAAGUCAGUUACGAGGUACAGACAGUCAUGCAUAUGUGCAGUACAUAUAAUUUUUAAGGACCUAUUUUGCGUAUCAAUGUCGAGACAUGUUUUACUGAUUAAUGACAUUAUUGACAAGUGACUGUUUUCUGUGUGAAACAUUGUCAAAACUGACCUACAUUUUUCUAGUCAUCUUCCAUAUUUUCCCCUUAAUGUCAAUUACCCCCACCCCUGUAAUACAAAUUUGUGAAAUAUUUAACUGUAGUAAGAUUCCAUGGUGUACAUUUUCAAUAAAACAUUUAAAAACCUGA
This is an RNA transcript of Onychostoma macrolepis, 5239 nucleotides long. It is a transcript of the gene named septin 6, with no coding region annotated. The record is from RefSeq and is a predicted model, not a curated record. The transcript is spliced from 11 exons. Lineage: Eukaryota; Metazoa; Chordata; Actinopteri; Cypriniformes; Cyprinidae.